GGUGAAGAAGUUGGUUGGAAAGAGCAAAAAAGAAGCAGGCUGGACUUAAGGUCGACAACUUGAUGUGCAUGAGGAGUAGGCAUAGGCGAGCAUGGCUGCACAGAGCAGUGACAUUAGCCGGUGACCGGCCAGCACGGCCUCGACGAGGAUGCUCCACCCCAUGCUUGCCAUUGUUCUGCACCACCGAGAUGAAGAAGUUGUCUGGCUUACCAGCCGCCUGAGCACCCAGAUCUUCGCGCCCGACUAUUGAAGAAGCCUUGGGCUGAUUAAGCUAUCCCAAACAAGGUACAUACAUCCCCGUUGGCCAAGGUUCACAGAUUUUUAAAUUAAAUAUGUGCU
Molecule: long non-coding RNA, 339 nt
Organism: Triticum aestivum (bread wheat)
Lineage: Eukaryota; Viridiplantae; Streptophyta; Magnoliopsida; Poales; Poaceae
Exons: 2
Source: RefSeq, a predicted model, not a curated record